CAGCCGCCGCGGGAAUACGGAGGGGGCUAGCGUUGUUCGGAAUUACUGGGCGUAAAGCGCACGUAGGCGGCUUGGUAAGUUAGAGGUGAAAGCCCGGAGCUCAACUCCGGAAUUGCCUUUAAGACUGCCGAGCUAGUAGGUGAGAGAGGUAAGUGGAAUUCCGAGUGUAGAGGUGAAAUUCGUAGAUAUUCGGAAGAACACCAGUGGCGAAGGCGGCUUACUGGCUCAUUCUAGACGCUGAGGUGCGAAAGCGUGGGGAGCAAACAGGAUUAGAUACCCCGGUAGUCCCUGUCUCUUAUAC
RNAcentral lists this ribosomal RNA (301 nucleotides) under uncultured bacterium. RNAcentral's name for it is "partial 16S ribosomal RNA". It matches the Rfam family "Bacterial small subunit ribosomal RNA", at positions 509 to 807 of the family's 1533-position model. The record is from RNAcentral.